This is a small nucleolar RNA of Phragmites australis (common reed), 82 nucleotides long. RefSeq annotates it as small nucleolar RNA Z199. The transcript has a single exon. The record is from RefSeq and is a predicted model, not a curated record. Lineage: Eukaryota; Viridiplantae; Streptophyta; Magnoliopsida; Poales; Poaceae.
GGGUCAAAUGAUGAGGAAUAAACUGCAACAAUAUGAUGGAGUUAAUCCCUGUGAUUCCCAAGUAUUUAAGUCUCUGAUGACC